AAAGCCCUGGGGCCUCUCCAGCGAGGAUCCCGGCACCAGCUCRCUGUUUGGACUGUAAACUCUUCAGGGCGGAUUUUGCCUGACAGUGAUUCACUCUGCUCAGCGGGAGAUUUUCAGCACAAUCACAAGACARAAAGGAAGACAGAAAUUCCGUAUUGUUGCCACAACUUGAUGUAGAAGCUCUGAUGCCCAGAAAACUUUUUAACAGGCUGCUCCUAUUUUUUUCCCAUC
Nothoprocta perdicaria is the source of this 231-nucleotide long non-coding RNA. RefSeq lists it as uncharacterized. The record is from RefSeq and is a predicted model, not a curated record. NCBI's taxonomy places the organism in Eukaryota, Metazoa, Chordata, Aves, Tinamiformes, Tinamidae. The transcript is spliced from 2 exons.